This 254-nucleotide ribosomal RNA is filed under the name uncultured bacterium. Its description in RNAcentral is "partial 16S ribosomal RNA". It matches the Rfam family "Bacterial small subunit ribosomal RNA", at positions 524 to 776 of the family's 1533-position model. The record is from RNAcentral.
CACGUAGGGGGCAAGCGUUGUCCGGAUUUAUUGGGCGUAAAGAGCUCGUAGGCGGUUCGGUAAGUCGGGUGUGAAACCUCCAGGCUCAACCUGGAGACGCCACCCGAUACUGCUGUGACUAGAGUCCGGUAGGGGAGCGUGGAAUUCCUGGUGUAGCGGUGAAAUGCGUAGAGAUCAGGAAGAACAUCGGUGGCGAAGGCGCUCUGCUGGACCAUAACUGACACUCAGGGACGAAAGCUAGGGGAGCGAAUGGG